Molecule: long non-coding RNA, 1118 nt
Organism: Gasterosteus aculeatus aculeatus (three-spined stickleback)
Lineage: Eukaryota; Metazoa; Chordata; Actinopteri; Perciformes; Gasterosteidae
Source: Ensembl
CUUCCCAGUGUCUCCAAGUCAUUUUGUUUAUCAUUCAAAUGAAUACCGUGUUCCAUUAUCCAUGAGGGAGCAGGAGUAAUGUGUUAACGUCCCUCACUGGUGGCUCGUCUUCUGGUCCGAGCUUGACAGCGCGGCAGAUGAUGAGAGACAAAAGCCUGACAGAGGGGCGGCGAAAAACAGACAAGCAUCAGAUAGAAGCACAGGAACAGAUUUGCCCCGAGAACCUGGAGAAUAAAGCCUCUGGUUGUGCUGCGGCUCGUCUUCUCCAGCGGAUUUCCUCAUGAAUAUUUCCACGGCUGUGGAGAGGUGGAUUUCCACCCAUUGCAGCGUUAAGAAAAGAUGGACCGACUGCCGCCAAACCCGAAGAGGAGACAGGCCUUACACUGCUCUCUCAUACUGCUUCAAUUACCAGUCUGCUGUACAAAGGAGGCAGCCUGAUGGCAUGACGAGUGCACAGCGCUCCUCCGCCUGUGCUGUUGUCUCGAUUCUUUUUUUUGAGGCUCAUAAAAGGAAACGGGCCUGACGAUGCCAGAGGCGGGAGGAUCUGGCUCUGCGGUCCGCACAGAGAGAAACGUCAGCAGCAGAGCGGCGUUCUUCAGAGGGAGAUGUCCUUCGGUGGGGGACCGACUGUCCCCGAGGCGGCAGCUCAGCACACAACGUCUUGUUUACCAUAUGCAGGAUCUCUCGGUGCCCUUAACGAGCCGGGGCGUUCACAGCAUCGCGGAGACAAAGGCCACGCUUUCACCGGAGAAGCUCUGGUUUGAGCUGCAUUAAAUAAUGAUAAUUAAGAAAAUAUUAAUCAAACCGUGGCUCUCUCGGCUCUGCAGCUGUGUGAAGGGAGCGGAUCCUGCAGCUUAGCCUGUAGGAGUUCUCAUUUGGAGUAUGCCUGCGACCUAUAGAGCUGCAGGCAAACACACACACACACACGGAUGCACACAAUUAAAAGGAGACCUUGGUGGCCCACUACUCUAUAAUUAAACACCCUUUGGUGCUCCGCACAAAAAAUGGGAGCCGGGUUCAGAUGUGUCAAGGAGGGAGAGCGAUGGAAAAGGAAACUUCAGACGCUGUCGCUUCCCCAAAUUGAAAGCGCCGUUGAAUGCAAUAAAUGAAUAAAAAGC